This is a long non-coding RNA of Vigna radiata var. radiata (mung bean), 1775 nucleotides long. RefSeq lists it as uncharacterized. The record is from RefSeq and is a predicted model, not a curated record. Lineage: Eukaryota; Viridiplantae; Streptophyta; Magnoliopsida; Fabales; Fabaceae. The transcript has 5 exons.
UACUUAAAAAUUCCCAUUUUAUCCAUGCACGAUCCGUCCCUUUUACAGGUUUUAUGUCAUUUUAACCGUGUAUCAACAAUUGGCGCGAACACUGUAGAUGUCGUGUGCAUGUUUCAAAUCAAAGUUUUAGGCUUGAAAUGCUGCACACAUCAUUUCUGGUGUUCGUUUUUUUACUUCAUUUCAUUUGGGGUGCUGUUUGUUUUUUCCUUCUUCCUCUUUGCUGCAUCUCUGGUCGAAGGUAUGGUCUUAGUAAAGGGGUAUGCUUUUGGAGGUGGAGUUUUGUUGGGUUGGUAUUUGUUGUUUGUGGUCCCCGUGUAGUGAUUUCUGCAUUGUACAUCUCCAUUCUGGUUCUGGGUUUUUUAUGGUCUAGGGUUCUGUUUGAUUUUUUUAAGGUUGUGUUUUUUUUUUUUUUUUUUCAUUUGGAGUUGUGUUGGUAUGUGGGUUGUGGGUUUUCGUGACAAUCUGUGUAUCGCUUUUCUUUCAUUUUCUUGGUACUUUGAUUUUCAUUCUCGAUCUCGACUAUGGAAGAAGUUUUCGACUUAGUAAAAGAGUAUGAUUUUUUGUUUUGGAAUCGUGUCUGGUUGGAAUGUGUAAUUUACCAUACAGAGCUUUCUGGCUUUUGAAUCUGCAUUUUGCUCCGGGAUUUUAGCGCUUGUGGUUGUGUUCAAUUUUUUUUGGGUGUGUGGUACUUUUUUUAUUUUUGGGUGUGACUACUUUUUUGGGUGAAACUAUUUGAUUUGUUAUCAGAUGGAGGUGAAAUUUUAGGAUUGACAGCCAAGAGGCCGUGAUGAGUUAAAGUACCAAUACCUUUGAGGAGGUGGCUAAGCACAGCCACAAGAAGGAUUGUUGGAUUAUAAUCAAAGGAAAGCAUGGGUUUCUUAAAAGACCCUCAUGCAUUUAUAUGCGUUCUUCAGACUGUCCUGAGCACCACAAAUUACGGGCAGGCACACCACAAGUUGUGUUGGACAUUUAACGGUUGAUCUUCAAAGAUUUGAGAACAUAGUAAGGUGCUGGCUUCAAAGGUCUUCAAAGACAAAUCAGCUAGCUGUGUUGUCGUGGCUUACAAUUUGUGGCAACCGCUGAAAGACUGAAACUUGAUUUUUUAUUUUGCAUGGAACAAAUUUGGAUUAGUUGCCCGAAAAAGGACCUGGCGUGUAAUUGGGGUCAUUUGCACAGGCUUUGGACAUGAAGGCUGUGAGCAAGGUUGAUAAGCCCGAGUCCAAGUGACUUUUGAAUCCUACGCGUAAGCCAUGUUCAGUACACUGUAUUGCAGUUGUUCCUGAUAUUCACUGGGCUCUAUCUACUUUAUGCUUUGGGCCAAAGGGAAAGAAGGUUGCUUUCAGAGGGAAUAUGAUGCAGAGAAGCCUCUUUUAAGCUAACCUUCUUUUCAAAUGUAAAAGGAGUAGUAUGUAGUGUAUGUACUUAUUUUGUCCAUAGAAACAGAGUAAAUGAAAUACAAGUUUAUUCACAAAUCUUACUUCUAAGUUCUAAUCAAAUACCCGAUGCAAUUAGAUUAGCGAUGCCAUCUUAUAAUGUAAUCCUGACGCCGAUCCCAGCUCCUCUGACGAAGAUGUUAUCGCCGGAAUCGGUAACAAUUUCGCUGAGAUUGGUGGCAAGUUCAAGAACGGGAUCUCCAAAAUUUAUGGCAAUAAGACGGUAUCCCAAUCACCAAGAUUGCUUCGAGCUUCCUUCAGCUUGGAUCCCGAGAGGAAUACGACUUUUUCCUUUUCCUGACGAUGCUGAUCAUGAUGUUAUAUCGACUUUUUCAUUCUUGG